CCUGCUCUUAGAAACAUUGCAGGUGUGGCUGCUCUGUCACAUGUGUGUCAGUUGGUAGCAGAAAGGAGAGAAGCUAUGUCCAUGCUCAGUGCUCUGCCUAUGAACAUCUGACCUAUGAACAUCUGAUAUU
This is a small nucleolar RNA of Rattus norvegicus (Norway rat), 130 nucleotides long. Ensembl annotates it as small nucleolar RNA SNORA17. The record is from Ensembl. Lineage: Eukaryota; Metazoa; Chordata; Mammalia; Rodentia; Muridae.